Molecule: ribosomal RNA, 410 nt
Filed under: uncultured microorganism
Description: bacterial SSU rRNA
Rfam family: Bacterial small subunit ribosomal RNA
Source: RNAcentral
CAGCAGCCGCGGUAAUACGUAGGGGGCGAGCGUUGUCCGGAAUUAUUGGGCGUAAAGCGCGCGCAGGCGGUCCUUUAAGUCUGAUGUGAAAGCCCACGGCUCAACCGUGGAGGGUCAUUGGAAACUGGGGGACUUGAGUGCAGGAGAGGAGAGCGGAAUUCCACGUGUAGCGGUGAAAUGCGUAGAGAUGUGGAGGAACACCAGUGGCGAAGGCGGCUCUCUGGCCUGUAACUGACGCUGAGGCGCGAAAGCGUGGGGAGCAAAAAGGAUUAGAUACCCUGGUAGUCCACGCCGUAAACGAUGAGUGCUAAGUGUUAGAGGGGUCACACCCUUUAGUGCUGUAGCUAACGCGAUAAGCACUCCGCCUGGGGAGUACGGCCGCAAGGCUGAAACUUAAAGGAAUUGGCGGG